Molecule: ribosomal RNA, 868 nt
Filed under: uncultured archaeon
Lineage: Archaea
Description: bacterial SSU rRNA
Rfam family: Archaeal small subunit ribosomal RNA
Source: RNAcentral
CUCCGGUUGAUCCUGCCGGACCCGACUGCUAUCAGAGUGGGACUAAGCCAUGCGAGUCGACGUAGCAAUGCGUGGCGAACGGCUCAGUAACACGUAGUCAACAUGCCCAGGGGACGUGGAUAACCUCGGGAAACUGAGAAUAAACCACGAUAGGUCACGAUUUCUGGAAUGGAUCAUGGCCUAAAUCUACAUGGCCCCUGGAUUGGACUGCGGCCGAUCAGGCUGUUGGUGAGGUAAUGGCCCACCAAACCUAUAACCGGUACGGGCUCUGAGAGGAGAAGCCCGGAGAUGGGCACUGAGACAAGGGCCCAGGCCCUAUGGGGCGCAGCAGGCGCGAAACCUCUGCAAUAGGCGAAAGCCUGACAGGGUUACUCUGAGUGAUUUCCGCUAAGGGGAUCUUUUGGCACCUCUAAAAAUGGUGCAGAAUAAGGGGUGGGCAAGUCUGGUGUCAGCCGCCGCGGUAAUACCAGCUCCUCGAGUGGUCGGGGCGAUUAUUGGGCCUAAAGCAUCCGUAGCCGGUUCCGUAGGUCUCCUGCAAAAUCCAGUCGCUCAACGAUUGGCCCGCAGGAGAUACCGCGGGACUAGGAGGCGGGAGAGGUGGACGGUACUCCACGUGUAGGGGUAAAAUCCUUUGAUCCAUUGAAGACCACCAGUGGCGAAGGCGGCUUGCCAGAACGCGCUCGACGGUGAGGGAUGAAAGCUGGGGGAGCAAACCGGAUUAGAUACCCGGGUAGUCCCAGCUGUAAACGAUGCAGACUCGGUGAUGGGCUAGCCUUGUGCCAGCCCAGUGCCGCAGGGAAGCCGUUAAGUCUGCCGCCUGGGGAGUACGGUCGCAAGACUGAAACUUAAAGGAAUUGGCGGGGGAGCA